RNAcentral lists this ribosomal RNA (700 nucleotides) under uncultured bacterium. Its description in RNAcentral is "bacterial SSU rRNA". It matches the Rfam family "Bacterial small subunit ribosomal RNA", at positions 94 to 828 of the family's 1533-position model. The record is from RNAcentral.
AGUGGCGGACGGGUGAGUAAUGUCUGGGAAACUGCCUGAUGGACGGGGACAACAGUGGGAAACGACUGCUAAUACCCGAUGUGCCGCGAGGUGAAACCUAAUUGGCCUGAAGAAGAGCUUGCGUCUGAUUAGCUAGUUGGUGGGGUAAGAGCCUACCAAGGCGACGAUCAGUAGCUGGUCUGAGAGGAUGAGCAGCCACACUGGGACUGAGACACGGCCCAGACUCCUACGGGAGGCAGCAGUGGGGAAUUUUCCGCAAUGGGCGAAAGCCUGACGGAGCAACGCCGCGUGAGGGAGGAAGGUCUUUGGAUUGUAAACCUCUUUUCUCAAGGAAGAAGUUCUGACGGUACUUGAGGAAUCAGCCUCGGCUAACUCCGUGCCAGCAGCCGCGGUAAUACGGGGGAGGCAAGCGUUAUCCGGAAUUAUUGGGCGUAAAGCGUCCGCAGGUGGUCAGCCAAGUCUGCCGUCAAAUCAGGUUGCUUAACGACCUAAAGGCGGUGGAAACUGGCAGACUAGAGAGCAGUAGGGGUAGCAGGAAUUCCCAGUGUAGCGGUGAAAUGCGUAGAGAUUGGGAAGAACAUCGGUGGCGAAAGCGUGCUACUGGGCUGUAUCUGACACUCAGGGACGAAAGCUAGGGGAGCGAAAGGGAUUAGAUACCCCUGUAGUCCUAGCCGUAAACGAUGGAUACUAGGCGUGGCUU